AAAAGGGCAUUUGGUGAAUGCCUUGGCGAUAAGAGGCGAUGAAAGACGUGGCACGCUGCGAAAAGCUGCGGUGAGGUGCGAGCAACCUUUGACCCGCAGAUAUCUGAAUGGGGAAACCCACCCUUCGGGGUAUCCUGUAGUGAAUACAUAGCUGCAGGAGGCAAACCCGGGGAACUGAAACAUCUAAGUACCCGGAGGAAAGGACAUCAAUUGAGACUCCGUUAGUAGUGGCGAGCGAACGCGGACCAGGCCA
Molecule: ribosomal RNA, 253 nt
Filed under: Astrosyne radiata
Lineage: Eukaryota; Bacillariophyta; Fragilariophyceae; Cyclophorales; Cyclophoraceae
Description: partial Bacterial large subunit ribosomal RNA
Rfam family: Bacterial large subunit ribosomal RNA
Source: RNAcentral